GAGAAAACCAAAUCAUGCCUUUUCUCUCUCUUAACUGGAAAAUUGAAGGCAAGAAGAGACUUACAAGAAGCAGAACAAGAUUGAAGGUCGCUAGAAUUCACGCGUUCUCCGCAUUAUUCUUCUCAGAUUUCUAUGUCAUUCAAUAAUUGAAAUAUCUCCUUCUCCCGAUCCAAGAUCCUUCCUCUUCCUCUUUCUCCAAAACGUCUCCGUUUUAGCUUCCUCCCG
This 225-nucleotide unclassified non-coding RNA is filed under the name Hevea brasiliensis (rubber tree). Lineage: Eukaryota; Viridiplantae; Streptophyta; Magnoliopsida; Malpighiales; Euphorbiaceae. The record is from RNAcentral.